AUGACUAAGACUCCCACCUCCUGUGACUUGAUUGCCUCCAAAGUCACGGAGAGCACACUCAAUGAUUUCGUGACCAUGGGGUUUUUACCUCCCCAAGAGGUCAUUCACUGGCGGGUUCCAGGCUCCGAAUGCCCCCCCGAGCCCCAAGAAGGGGAGGUUUUAGUUUUUACAGAUCAUCUUCUCCGUGGUUUCUCGCCCCCCGGGUCAAAAAAAUUCCGGGAUGUUUUGCAUUUCUACAACCUUCAUCCACAAGACAUUGGCCUCAAUUCUGUCUCCAAUAUAUGCAACUUCCAAGUGUUGUGCGAGGUGUAUCUUGGGGAAGAACCCUCUGUUGAUCUGUUUAGAGACUACUUUUAUAUCAACCGUCAAACUGAAAUGUUAGACGGGCGGGACCAGUCUUGA
This 402-nucleotide ribosomal RNA is filed under the name Triticum aestivum (bread wheat). Its description in RNAcentral is "partial small subunit ribosomal RNA". Lineage: Eukaryota; Viridiplantae; Streptophyta; Magnoliopsida; Poales; Poaceae. The record is from RNAcentral.